This is a non-coding RNA of Oryza nivara, 208 nucleotides long. Lineage: Eukaryota; Viridiplantae; Streptophyta; Magnoliopsida; Poales; Poaceae. The record is from Rfam.
UUUAUGUAAAACCAUGAGUUUCCGCGCCCAACUUUAGUUGUUCGUCUUAUUUGAAAAAUUUUUUGUAAUUAGUAUUUUUGUUGUUAUAAGAUGGUAAUACAUGAAUAGGACUUUAUGUGUGACUUAUGUUUUUGAAUUUUUUUUAAAAAAAAUUUUAAAUAAGACGGACGAUCAAUGUUCGGUGCGAAAACUCAUGGCUGUAAUUAAA